RNAcentral lists this ribosomal RNA (446 nucleotides) under uncultured bacterium. RNAcentral's name for it is "partial 16S ribosomal RNA". It matches the Rfam family "Bacterial small subunit ribosomal RNA", at positions 29 to 523 of the family's 1533-position model. The record is from RNAcentral.
AACGAACGCUGGCGGCAGGCUUAACACAUGCAAGUCGAACGCCCCGCAAGGGGAGUGGCAGACGGGUGAGUAACGCGUGGGAACGUGCCCUUCGCUUCGGAAUAGCCCCGGGAAACUGGGAGUAAUACCGAAUACGCCGUAUUGGGAAAGAUUUAUCGGCGAAGGAUCGGCCCGCGUUAGAUUAGCUAGUUGGCGGUGUAACGGACCACCAAGGCUACGAUCUAUAGCUGGUCUGAGAGGAUGAUCAGCCACACUGGGACUGAGACACGGCCCAGACUCCUACGGGAGGCAGCAGUGGGGAAUCUUGGACAAUGGGCGCAAGCCUGAUCCAGCCAUGCCGCGUGAGUGAAGAAGGCCUUAGGGUUGUAAAACUCUUUCGCCGGAGAAGAUAAUGACGGUAUCCGGAGAAGAAGCCCCGGCUAACUUCGUGCCAGCCGCCGCGGUAA